This 253-nucleotide ribosomal RNA is filed under the name uncultured bacterium. RNAcentral's name for it is "partial 16S ribosomal RNA". It matches the Rfam family "Bacterial small subunit ribosomal RNA", at positions 524 to 776 of the family's 1533-position model. The record is from RNAcentral.
UACAGAGGUCUCGAGCGUUGUUCGGAUUCAUUGGGCGUAAAGGGUGCGUAGGUGGCGGGGUAAGUCUGGUGUGAAAUCUCGGGGCUCAAUCCCGAAACUGCACUGGAUACUGCCUUGCUCGAGUACUGGAGAGGAGAUUGGAAUUUACGGUGUAGCAGUGAAAUGCGUAGAUAUCGUAAGGAAGACCAGUGGCGAAGGCGAAUCUCUGGACAGUUACUGACACUGAGGCACGAAGGCCAGGGGAGCAAACGGG